Long non-coding RNA from Peromyscus eremicus (cactus mouse), 325 nucleotides. RefSeq lists it as uncharacterized. The transcript is spliced from 3 exons. The record is from RefSeq and is a predicted model, not a curated record. Lineage: Eukaryota; Metazoa; Chordata; Mammalia; Rodentia; Cricetidae.
CAAAAACAUCUAAAAUGAGCUGGUGCAUGUAGGGUUCUCGAACUACCAUAGCCCUGAACCUCAGCCCAUUUAUUAGAUGGUGGUCUGACUUAAGAUGUAAUGAGGAGGACAAGGGCACCAAUUUGUAGAGAUGUAUUGGAAAAUUGGAAUGCCUGCCUUUGACUGCCCACAACAAUGUAGAUAGAUAAAAUGUGUUUCAUCCAUACCAUGAAGUGUUAUGAACUUAAAAGAACUGAAACUUUGAAAAGAACAUAGAGGUGAUACAAUAGUAAGUAGAGGUUAUGCAACCACAGAACGCCAGUUCAGGGGAACAAGAGGUGUUGAA